GCCAGCUGUGGUAGUCCCAGCUACUUGGGAGGCUGAGGUGGGAGGGUCGCUUUAGCCCAGGAGUUCUGAGCUGUAGUGAGCUAUGCCAAUUGGUUGGCACUAAGUUCAGCAUCAAUAUGGUGACUUCCCAGGGGCAGGGGACCACCAGGUUGCUUAAGGAGGGGUGAACCAGCCCAGGCUGGAAACGGUGAAUAGCCACUGCAGUCCAGCCUGGGCAACAUAACAAGAUCCUGUCUCUU
Unclassified non-coding RNA from Callithrix jacchus (white-tufted-ear marmoset), 239 nucleotides. It matches the Rfam family "Metazoan signal recognition particle RNA". From Rfam's summary of the family: The signal recognition particle (SRP) is a universally conserved ribonucleoprotein. It is involved in the co-translational targeting of proteins to membranes. The record is from Ensembl. Lineage: Eukaryota; Metazoa; Chordata; Mammalia; Primates; Cebidae.